Molecule: long non-coding RNA, 673 nt
Organism: Oncorhynchus tshawytscha (Chinook salmon)
Lineage: Eukaryota; Metazoa; Chordata; Actinopteri; Salmoniformes; Salmonidae
Source: Ensembl
AUGAGACUAGUAUUGGAAUGCAGUUACUGUAUUUCAGUAGGAAAACAUACCCUUUCAGUAGCUGAUUUGUUCCAGGUUUAGCAAACUGCUUUGAUAAUGGUGAAAUAAUUGAGUCUGGCGGAAGGCUUAAAUGUCACUGAGUUAUUGACUAAUCAGUGACCUUGUGGAGAAGAGGUGGGGGCAGGGGCAGACUUAGUGAUUUGGAGGCCCCAUGCACAGGCCAGUCUGUGCAUGGGGCCCCCCUCAGACUGACAUGUAAUCUGUAAAAUGUGUUACCUUUUAAUGUGCCAUGAACACAACCAGUCAUGAUGUUUUCAUCUGAUUGUCAAACAAAUCCCUUCAAAAAGUAGGUUAGAUUCACACGUUCAUCCAAAAUAAUUCCAGCAUCCGAACAGUGCACUGUGCACCAGCCAACGUUCCUUCAAUUCACAGGAUGGGAAGGAGGAGGUGAGGGAGGAUAGGAAGUAGGAGGUGAGGGAGGAUAGGAAGUAGGAGGUGAGGGAGGAUAGGAAGUAGGAGGUGAGGGAGGAUAGGAAGUAGGAGGUGAGGGAGGAUAGGAAGGAGGAGGUGAGGGAGGAUAGGAAGUAGGAGGUGAGGGAGGAUAGGAAGUAGGAGGUGAGUGAGGAUAGGAAGGAGGAGAUGAGGGAGGAUAGGAAGUAGGAGGUGAGGGAGG